AGAAGGAUACGGUGAUCACAACGGUGAAAUAGUCACAUCAAAUGAGAAUCGAAAAGGGCCUCAUUGGAGGCAUUUAUUGAAACACCUCGCGGCGGUGCCGCCGAGCUUCGGCGCCAUUUUUCGGUCAAUCGACCGGUUCUUUCACUACGAUUUGGCCAUGAGCGUGUUUAAAAUUGAAUUUCGUGCAAGAGAAGAAUUUUUUACCUCGUUUGGCGAUCGAAAAUUACUCCGGUACGGUGGCGGAAGCGGCGGUCGGCUCUCUGGCGGCUGGGCUGUCUUCUCCGGUGAGGAGCUCUGGCGGCUAGGGUUAGGGUUUGGGUGCGGAUGAGGUUAUUUAUACUCAUUCGCUUUUGAUCUGGGUCGUUCAUCGCUUUUAAUUUGGACCGUUCGCUUGCGAUUAAAUAGGGAGUGAAUU
This 415-nucleotide long non-coding RNA is filed under the name Carica papaya (papaya). RNAcentral describes it as "long non-coding RNA (CPAP_LNC015495)". The record is from RNAcentral. Lineage: Eukaryota; Viridiplantae; Streptophyta; Magnoliopsida; Brassicales; Caricaceae.